GACGAACGCUGGCGGCGUGCCUACUACAUGCAAGUAGAACGCAGUUGCGAACGGGUGAGUACCGCGUAGGUAACUGCCUGGUAGCGGGGGAUAACUAUUGGAAACGAUAGCUAAUACCGCAUACUACCAGAUGGACCUGCGUUGUAUUAGCUAGUUGGUGAGGUAACGGCUCCCCAAAGCAACGAUACAUAGCCGAACUUGGAGGGUGAUCUGGCACACUGGGACUGGGACACGGCCCAGACUCCUACGGGAGGCAGCAGGAGGGAAGCUUCGGCAAUGGGGCGAACCCUGACCGAGCAACGCCGCGGGAGUGAAGAAGGUUUUCGGAUCGGAAAGCGCUGUUGUUAAGGAAGCGGUACUUAACCAGAAAGGGACGGCUAACUACGUGCCAGCCGCCGCAGUAAUAC
RNAcentral lists this ribosomal RNA (407 nucleotides) under uncultured bacterium. RNAcentral describes it as "partial 16S ribosomal RNA". It matches the Rfam family "Bacterial small subunit ribosomal RNA", at positions 28 to 526 of the family's 1533-position model. The record is from RNAcentral.